GGAGGGGCCGGGAGGGCCGGGUGGUCAUGGAAGCGUUUCUCCGGUACACGAGGGGACGGGGGAGGUGACCUCAGCCGCGGCGUAAGCAGCGCAUCUCUUCCUGCGCCGUGCGGGGCUCCCAGCCCCGUCCUCCUUAGGCAGAGUCGCUGUUGGUACGCGUGGAGAAAGUGCGCGGCUCAACUUCAACACUCGCUCUUCUCAUUCUCACUUCGGACGCCGUGUUUCGCUUAAAAAUGUCUUCUGUAACUUCCAGGUCUGCGCCGAGGCAGUGCUGACAGCAGCCGCCGGCUGUAUUGUAGUGGUCACGGAGUUUGGAGGGUGUCGUGUGCUCCCUGUGCUGCACAUGCACUCUGCUAUACAAUCAUCUUUAAGUUUGAGUAACAAGUAUUUAACCUCAAAUGAAGCUUCCUGCAUGCAGCGGAACAGAUAUAUGGUGCAAAAGAAUCACAGCUGUCCAAUCAAGAUGAACAGAAUGGCUUCCUUGACCAAGAAAAUAGAACAUUCGAUUUUUAGGAUGAUAUCUACAACAUGAAGCAUUCAACAGAAGCUGCCUUUGAGAACGUUUAUCUAUGACCUGAAAUGUCCUGAUCCUGGGGAAAAAGAUGAGAUUCCAUUAAUUAAGUCUAUAAUUUCUUAAUGCAUCCUUAUGACUAUUCAUUUUUGCGUCCGCACAACACGGAUACAGAAUUCAUAAACCAGAGAUUAUUUUAACACGUAGAUUUGUGUUUGUGCAUUCAGUAUACAAGAUACAUCAUUUUAAUCAAAUUUCACAUAAUCUUUUAAAUUAUCUGUAUUUAUUAAUAAAUGAAGACGUG
RNAcentral lists this long non-coding RNA (815 nucleotides) under Meleagris gallopavo (turkey). RNAcentral describes it as "lncRNA (ENSMGAG00000020099.1)". The record is from RNAcentral. Lineage: Eukaryota; Metazoa; Chordata; Aves; Galliformes; Phasianidae.